This 647-nucleotide unclassified non-coding RNA is filed under the name Hevea brasiliensis (rubber tree). The record is from RNAcentral. Lineage: Eukaryota; Viridiplantae; Streptophyta; Magnoliopsida; Malpighiales; Euphorbiaceae.
GGCAGAAGUUCGAGUGCAUCAGAUUGAAAUAAUAGAGAGCAGGGAAAAGGGAAAGAUCAAAGGAUGUCUGGCAGAGGAAAGGGAGGAAAGGGGUUGGGAAAGGGAGGUGCCAAGAGGCAUAGGAAGGUGCUCCGAGAUAACAUCCAGGGCAUCACCAAACCUGCUAUACGACGGCUGGCCAGGCGUGGCGGAGUGAAGCGUAUCAGCGGUCUUAUUUACGAGGAGACUAGAGGCGUCCUGAAGAUCUUCCUGGAGAACGUCAUUCGUGAUGCAGUUACCUACACCGAGCACGCUCGCCGCAAGACUGUUACUGCCAUGGAUGUCGUGUAUGCAUUGAAGAGGCAGGGCAGGACUCUCUACGGUUUCGGUGGUUAGAGAUUUGGGGAUAGGGUUAGGGUAGAUUUUAGUUUGUACUAGUGGAGAAUGGUGUUAAGUUUUAAUGGAAAUUUCUCAUUACGUCUCUAUUUUUUGAUUGAUGGUGAUUGGAUUUUGCUUUAUAUUUUCCUUUUCUCAAUUGUGUUUGGAUGGUGAGAAAAAAGUAGGAAUUAAUUGGUAAUCCAAACCAUAUGCUUCGAUAUUUUUGGGGAACGGCUAAUUGUAAGUUUUAAUAUUUUUUUCGUUUGAAACUGAUUUAAUUUUAAGUUAAU